Molecule: ribosomal RNA, 502 nt
Filed under: uncultured bacterium
Lineage: Bacteria
Description: partial 16S ribosomal RNA
Rfam family: Bacterial small subunit ribosomal RNA
Source: RNAcentral
ACUCAAAUGAAUUGACGGGGACCCGCACAAGCGGUGGAGUAUGUGGUUUAAUUCGUCGCAACGCGAAGAACCUUACCAGGCCUUGACAUACCGAUUAAGGGAAGCAGAGACGCUUCCUGUCAGUUCGGCUGGAUCGGAUACAGGUGCUGCAUGGCUGUUGUCAGCUCGUGUCGUGAGAUGUUGGGUUAAGUCCCGCAACGAGCGCAACCCCUCUCGUCAGUUGCCAUCAGGUAAUGCUGGGAACUCUGACGAUACUGCCGGUGAUAAGCCGGAGGAAGGCGGGGAUGACUUCAAGUCCUCAUGGCCCUUACGGCCUGGGCUACACACGUACUACAAUGGUGGUGACAAUGGGCAGCAAGCCAGCGAUGGCAAGCAAAUCCCUAAAAGCCACCUCAGUUCAGAUUGUGCUCUGCAACUCGAGCACAUGAAGUUGGAAUCGCUAGUAAUCGUGGAUCAGCACGCCACGGUGAAUACGUUCCCGGGUCUUGUACACACCGCCCGU